UAGGUCCCAAGGGUUGGGCUGUUCGCCCAUUAAAGUGGUACGCGAGCUGGGUUCAGAACGUCGUGAGACAGUUCGGUCCCUAUCCGUCGCAGGCGUAGGAAAUUUGGGAAGACCUGUCCUUAGUACGGGAGGACCGGGAUGGACGUACCUCUGGUGUACCAGUUGUCCUGCCAAGGGCAUGGCUGGGUAGCUAUGUACGGAAUGGAUAAGCGCUGAAAGCAUCUAAGCGCGAAG
RNAcentral lists this ribosomal RNA (234 nucleotides) under Clostridioides difficile. RNAcentral's name for it is "partial 23S ribosomal RNA". It matches the Rfam family "Bacterial large subunit ribosomal RNA", at positions 2559 to 2792 of the family's 2925-position model. Lineage: Bacteria; Bacillati; Bacillota; Clostridia; Peptostreptococcales; Peptostreptococcaceae. The record is from RNAcentral.